GAUGAACGCUGGCGGCGUGCCUAAUACAUGCAAGUCGAGCGAACGGACGAGAAGCUUGCUUCUCUGAUGUUAGCGGCGGACGGGUGAGUAACACGUGGAUAACCUACCUAUAAGACUGGGAUAACUUCGGGAAACCGGAGCUAAUACCGGAUAAUAUUUUGAACCGCAUGGUUCAAAAGUGAAAGACGGUCUUGCUGUCACUUAUAGAUGGAUCCGCGCUGCAUUAGCUAGUUGGUAAGGUAACGGCUUACCAAGGCAACGAUGCAUAGCCGACCUGAGAGGGUGAUCGGCCACACUGGAACUGAGACACGGUCCAGACUCCUACGGGAGGCAGCAGUAGGGAAUCUUCCGCAAUGGGCGAAAGCCUGACGGAGCAACGCCGCGUGAGUGAUGAAGGUCUUCGGAUCGUAAAACUCUGUUAUUAGGGAAGAACAUAUGUGUAAGUAACUGUGCACAUCUUGACGGUACCUAAUCAGAAAGCCACGGCUAACUACGUGCCAGCAGCCGCGGUAAUACGUAGGUGGCAAGCGUUAUCCGGAAUUAUUGGGCGUAAAGCGCACGUAGGCGGUUUUUUAAGUCUGAUGUGAAAGCCCACGGCUCAACCGUGGAGGGUCAUUGGAAACUGGAAAACUUGAGUGCAGAAGAGGAAAGUGGAAUUCCAUGUGUAGCGGUGAAAUGCGCAGAGAUAUGGAGGAACACCAGUGGCGAAGGCGACUUUCCGGUCUGUAACUGACGCUGAUGUGCGAAAGCGUGGGGAUCAAACAGG
RNAcentral lists this ribosomal RNA (766 nucleotides) under Staphylococcus aureus. RNAcentral's name for it is "bacterial SSU rRNA". It matches the Rfam family "Bacterial small subunit ribosomal RNA", at positions 28 to 776 of the family's 1533-position model. The record is from RNAcentral. Lineage: Bacteria; Bacillati; Bacillota; Bacilli; Caryophanales; Staphylococcaceae.